Molecule: ribosomal RNA, 595 nt
Filed under: Corynespora mengsongensis
Lineage: Eukaryota; Fungi; Ascomycota; Dothideomycetes; Pleosporales; Corynesporascaceae
Description: partial large subunit ribosomal RNA
Rfam family: Eukaryotic large subunit ribosomal RNA
Source: RNAcentral
CAUUUUUUUUAACCGGGGGCGGGAACGGCAACAGCUCAAAUUUGAAAUCUGGCCCUCUAGGGGGUCCGAGUUGUAAUUUGCAGAGGGUGCUUUGGCGUUGGCAGCGGUCUAAGUUCCUUGGAACAGGACGUCACAGAGGGUGAGAAUCCCGUACGUGGUCGCCAGCCUUCGCCGUGUAAAGCCCCUUCGACGAGUCGAGUUGUUUGGGAAUGCAGCUCUAAAUGGGAGGUAAAUUUCUUCUAAAGCUAAAUACUGGCCAGAGACCGAUAGCGCACAAGUAGAGUGAUCGAAAGAUGAAAAGCACUUUGGAAAGAGAGUCAAAAAGCACGUGAAAUUGUUGAAAGGGAAGCGCUUGCAGCCAGACUUGCCUGUAGUUGCUCAGCCGGGCUCCGGCCCGGUGCACUCUUCUGCGGGCAGGCCAGCAUCAGUUCGGGCGGCCGGAUAAAGACCUCUGUCACGUACCUCCCUUCGGGGAGGACUUAUAGGGGAGGUGAAAUGCGGCCAGUCCGGACUGAGGUCCGCGCAUCUGCUAGGAUGCUGGCGUAAUGGCUGUAAGCGGCCCGUCUUGAACCGACCCAAAAGGAAAAAAAACCCC